RNAcentral lists this ribosomal RNA (301 nucleotides) under uncultured bacterium. RNAcentral's name for it is "partial 16S ribosomal RNA". It matches the Rfam family "Bacterial small subunit ribosomal RNA", at positions 509 to 807 of the family's 1533-position model. The record is from RNAcentral.
CAGUCGCCGCGGUAAUACGAAGGGGGCUAGCGUUGCUCGGAAUGACUGGGCGUAAAGGGCGCGUAGGCGGUUUUCCAAGUUAGAUGUGAAAUUCCUGGGCUCAACCUGGGGGCUGCAUUUGAUACUGGGAGGCUUGAGUAUGGAAGAGGGUCGUGGAAUUCCCAGUGUAGAGGUGAAAUUCGUAGAUAUUGGGAAGAACACCGGUGGCGAAGGCGGCGACCUGGUCCAUAACUGACGCUGAGGCGCGAAAGCGUGGGGAGCAAACAGGAUUAGAGACCCCGGUAGUCCCUGUCUCUUAUAC